RNAcentral lists this ribosomal RNA (1382 nucleotides) under uncultured bacterium. Its description in RNAcentral is "bacterial SSU rRNA". It matches the Rfam family "Bacterial small subunit ribosomal RNA". The record is from RNAcentral.
GAAUUCGCCCUUAGAGUUUGAUCCUGGCUCAGGACGAACGCUGGCGGCGCGCCUAACACAUGCAAGUCGAACGAGCGAGAGAGAGCUUGCUUUCUCGAGCGAGUGGCGAACGGGUGAGUAACGCGUGAGGAACCUGCCUCAAAGAGGGGGACAACAGUUGGAAACGACUGCUAAUACCGCAUAAGCCCACGGGUCGGCAUCGACCAGAGGGAAAAGGAGCAAUCCGCUUUGAGAUGGCCUCGCGUCCGAUUAGCUAGUUGGUGAGGUAAUGGCCCACCAAGGCGACGAUCGGUAGCCGGACUGAGAGGUUGAACGGCCACAUUGGGACUGAGACACGGCCCAGACUCCUACGGGAGGCAGCAGUGGGGAAUAUUGCACAAUGGGGGAAACCCUGAUGCAGCGACGCCGCGUGGAGGAAGAAGGUCUUCGGAUUGUAAACUCCUGUUGUUGGGGAAGAUAAUGACGGUACCCAACAAGGAAGUGACGGCUAACUACGUGCCAGCAGCCGCGGUAAAACGUAGGUCACAAGCGUUGUCCGGAAUUACUGGGUGUAAAGGGAGCGCAGGCGGGAAGACAAGUUGGAAGUGAAAUCUAUGGGCUCAACCCAUAAACUGCUUUCAAAACUGUUUUUCUUGAGUAGUGCAGAGGUAGGCGGAAUUCCCGGUGUAGCGGUGGAAUGCGUAGAUAUCGGGAGGAACACCAGUGGCGAAGGCGGCCUACUGGGCACCAACUGACGCUGAGGCUCGAAAGUGUGGGUAGCAAACAGAAAGAGAUACCCUGGUAGUCCACACCGUAAACGAUCACUAUAAGGGGUUGGAGGAUUGACCCCUUCAGUGCCGCAGUUAACCCAAUAAGUAAUCCACUUGGGGAGUACGACCGCAAGGUUGAAACUCAAAGGAAUUGACGGGGGCCCGCACAAGCAGUGGAGUAUGUGGUUUAAUUCGACGCAACGCGAAGAACCUUACCAAGUCUUGACAUCCCUUGACAGGCAUAGAAAUAUGUUUUCUCUUCGGAGCAAGGAGACAGGUGGUGCAUGGUUGUCGUCAGCUCGUGUCGUGAGAUGUUGGGUUAAGUCCCGCAACGAGCGCAACCCUUAUGGUCAGUUACUACGCAAGAGGACUCUGGCCAGACUGCCGUUGACAAAACGGAGGAAGGUGGGGAUGACGUCAAAUCAUCAUGCCCUUUAUGACUUGGGCUACACACGUACUACAAUGGCGUUAAACAAAGAGAAGCAAGACCGCGAGGUGGAGCAAAACUCAGAAACAACGUCCCAGUUCGGACUGCAGGCUGCAACUCGCCUGCAUGAAGUCGGAAUUGCUAGUAAUCGUGGAUCAGCAUGCCACGGUGAAUACGUUCCCGGGCCUUGCACACACCGCCCGUCA